This 740-nucleotide ribosomal RNA is filed under the name Bacillus velezensis. RNAcentral's name for it is "bacterial SSU rRNA". It matches the Rfam family "Bacterial small subunit ribosomal RNA", at positions 79 to 801 of the family's 1533-position model. Lineage: Bacteria; Bacillati; Bacillota; Bacilli; Caryophanales; Bacillaceae. The record is from RNAcentral.
CUUGCUCCCUGAUGUUAGCGGCGGACGGGUGAGUAACACGUGGGUAACCUGCCUGUAAGACUGGGAUAACUCCGGGAAACCGGGGCUAAUACCGGAUGGUUGUUUGAACCGCAUGGUUCAGACAUAAAAGGUGGCUUCGGCUACCACUUACAGAUGGACCCGCGGCGCAUUAGCUAGUUGGUGAGGUAACGGCUCACCAAGGCGACGAUGCGUAGCCGACCUGAGAGGGUGAUCGGCCACACUGGGACUGAGACACGGCCCAGACUCCUACGGGAGGCAGGCAGUAGGGAAUCUUCCGCAAUGGACGAAAGUCUGACGGAGCAACGCCGCGUGAGUGAUGAAGGUUUUCGGAUCGUAAAGCUCUGUUGUUAGGGAAGAACAAGUGCCGUUCAAAUAGGGCGGCACCUUGACGGUACCUAACCAGAAAGCCACGGCUAACUACGUGCCAGCAGCCGCGGUAAUACGUAGGUGGCAAGCGUUGUCCGGAAUUAUUGGGCGUAAAGGGCUCGCAGGCGGUUUCUUAAGUCUGAUGUGAAAGCCCCCGGCUCAACCCGGGGAGGGUCAUUGGAAACUGGGGAACUUGAGUGCAGAAGAGGAGAGUGGAAUUCCACGUGUAGCGGUGAAAUGCGUAGAGAUGUGGAGGAACACCAGUGGCGAAGGCGACUCUCUGGUCUGUAACUGACGCUGAGGAGCGAAAGCGUGGGGAGCGAACAGGAUUAGAUACCCUGGUAGUCCACGCC